This 404-nucleotide ribosomal RNA is filed under the name uncultured bacterium. RNAcentral describes it as "bacterial SSU rRNA". It matches the Rfam family "Bacterial small subunit ribosomal RNA", at positions 355 to 776 of the family's 1533-position model. The record is from RNAcentral.
UGAGGAAUAUUGGACAAUGGGCGCAAGCCUGAUCCAGCAAUGCCGCGUGAAUGAUGAAGGCCUUCGGGUUGUAAAGUUCUUUUAGCAGGGAAGAAAAUGACUGUACCUGCAGAAAAAGCUCCGGCUAACUCUGUGCCAGCAGCCGCGGUAAUACAGAGGGAGCUAGUGUUUUUCGGAUUUACUGGGCGUAAAGAGCGCGUAGGUGGUUGUAUAAGUUAAAAGUGAAAUCUUAGAGCUUAACUCUAAAACUGCUUUUAAUACUGUAUAACUAGAGUCAAGUAGGGGACAAUGGAAUUCUUGGUGUAGGAGUGAAAUCCUUAGAUAUCAGGAGGAACACCAGUAGCGAAGGCGAUUGUCUGGACUUUGACUGACAUUGUGGCGCGAAAGCGUGGGGAGCAAACAGG